UUUGCUCUCUUUUCUCUCCUUUUUCUUUUCCUUUCUUUUUCUUGUUUUCUUCUUUUGUUUGAUUGUUGUUGUAAUCUUGUUGUCGGUUGUAAUUGAGGGCCCUAGUUUGUUUGUUGCGUCAAUUGGAAGGUUUUUGUGCAAGUUCGGUUGUAAUAUCUUUUCGUUUCUGCAUGUUUCUCUUAUUUUCGGUUAUUUUUUGUCGAAAUGGUUUUCUGCUCGAAUUCUCUGUUUGAAUGUUCAAUUGGUUUUCCUUCUAGGCGAAGAUCUUACAGGAGACAUUUCUC
Molecule: long non-coding RNA, 284 nt
Filed under: Gossypium raimondii (Peruvian cotton)
Lineage: Eukaryota; Viridiplantae; Streptophyta; Magnoliopsida; Malvales; Malvaceae
Description: long non-coding RNA (GRAI_LNC009446)
Source: RNAcentral